GGGGCUGACCGGUUUUGACAGUAGGUGUAAGGAUCGGGCUCGCAUGCAGGCUGGAGUAUGUACGGCCUUGAAUCAUUCAUACGAACCAUAAUUGGCGAAUCUAAUUACGCCAUGGCUGCCUAAUCUUACCCUUCGGGGAUAUAGAUACGCUUAAAGGGUUGAGUUUCGAGAGAUGCUCCCCGGCCACAUCCCACCGUCCGUUGCGCUGUCCGGGUGGAGUUGGGGUGUCGACCUGACAGGGCUGCUUCCCGCGAGGCUACUAAGCGGGACUAAGAUCAGUGGCUAAGCUGUUGUCCGGUGUGUCACCCAGCAAACAACGGUCGAAAAUCCAACAGGUGACUAAGCAUGUAGACGGUACGGUGUUUCCCUAUCUGGACGCGAGUUCGAAUCUCGCCAGCUCCACCU
Lunatimonas lonarensis is the source of this 405-nucleotide non-coding RNA. It matches the Rfam family "transfer-messenger RNA". Rfam says of the family: Bacterial tmRNA, also known as 10Sa RNA or SsrA, is named for its dual tRNA and mRNA-like properties. NCBI's taxonomy places the organism in Bacteria, Pseudomonadati, Bacteroidota, Cytophagia, Cytophagales, Cyclobacteriaceae. The record is from Rfam.